This is an RNA transcript of Piliocolobus tephrosceles (Ugandan red Colobus), 1096 nucleotides long. It is a transcript of the gene named caspase-1-like, with no coding region annotated. The record is from RefSeq and is a predicted model, not a curated record. NCBI's taxonomy places the organism in Eukaryota, Metazoa, Chordata, Mammalia, Primates, Cercopithecidae. The transcript is spliced from 3 exons.
GUGCUGAACCAGGAAGAGAUGGAGAAAGUAAAACGUGAAAAUCCUACAGUUAUGGAUAAGGCCCGAGCUGUGAUUGACUCUGUUAUUCGCAAAGGGGCACAGGCAUCCCAAAUUUUCAUUACAUACAUUUGUGAAGAAGACAGGUACCUGGCAGGGACACUGGGACUUUCAGCAGGUCCGAUACCUGGAAAUUAGCUUAGUACACAAGACUCCCAAGGAGUACUUUCUUUCUUCCCAGCACCUCAGGCAGUGCAGGACAACCCAGCUAUGUCCACAUCUUCAAGCCCAGAAGGCAGCAUCAAGCUUUGCUUUCUAGAAGAACCUCAAAGGAUAUGGAAACAAAAGUCACAGAGGUUGGAGUGAAAGAUAUACUUCAGGCAGUUCUGAAAUUCAGUGGCUUUUUCUUAGAAGCAAUUUUAUUGAACGGUUCUGGAGAAUCAUACUUCUGCUCCCCUUGCAUAAAUGAUGUCUAUAUCCUAGAAUCCCAGGUUUAUGUAAAGAGCUGCAAACUGGAACUCAUAAAUUAUCGUAGUCUUCACCCAGUCUGUCUCUUGGAAUUUAUUUCCCACUGACACAAAUGUCAUUUAUUUCCCAAUGACACAAACAAGCCAUUUUGUCUGCUUGUAUAAUCCAGAUUUUCCAGUGUAGUGCCCAGUUGGAAAGAAGCACAUCACACUGAAUAAGUAUUGAAGUGGACUCUGGCUUCUCAUCCAAUUCUCCAACUUGUGCUUACCAAGAAUUGGAGUCAGUUUUUUCUCUUUGUUCCUGUUCAUAAAAUGAAAUUACUGUUUAUUUAACAUUAUUAAAAUGAAGCAUAAGAAAAUUUAGAGGCACUUUACCAAAAAGUGCAUUUUAACGUCACCUUGCUUCUGGGCUAUAGCUUAUGACUACUAUACAUGAGCGGUAUAAUGGCAUGCUCUCUACACCUGGCAUUGCAUCUUAGAAGGUAAGAAUGAUUAUGAGGCCCCUCCUAUAUACGAGAACACAGAGGAUGGGAGAUGUUAAAUAACUUGUCUAAGAUCUACACCUCAUAAAUAGAAGUUGACCCUAGGGCUAUUAGAUGCCAAAGUCCACACUGAAAAGCUGGGCAGAAAGA